AACGAACGCUGGCGGCAUGCCUAACACAUGCAAGUCGAACGGGAUCCUGGUUUCGGCCAGGUGAGAGUGGCGGACGGGUGAGUAACGCGUGGGAACCUGCCCAGUGGUGGGGGAUAACUGCGGGGAACUGCAGCUAAUACCGCAUGAGCCCGCAAGGGGAAAGAUUGAUCGCCAUUGGAGGGGCCCGCGUUCGAUUAGGUAGUUGGUGAGGUAACGGCUCACCAAGCCUACGANCGAUAGCUGGUCUGAGAGGAUGAUCAGCCACACUGGGACUGAGAUACGGCCCAGACUCCUACGGGAGGCAGCAGUGGGGAAUAUUGGACAAUGGGGGCAACCCUGAUCCAGCAAUGCCGCGUGAGUGAUGAAGGCCUU
RNAcentral lists this ribosomal RNA (372 nucleotides) under uncultured bacterium. RNAcentral describes it as "bacterial SSU rRNA". It matches the Rfam family "Bacterial small subunit ribosomal RNA", at positions 29 to 418 of the family's 1533-position model. The record is from RNAcentral.